This 53-nucleotide transfer RNA is filed under the name Methylophilaceae bacterium. RNAcentral's name for it is "tRNA-Ser". Lineage: Bacteria; Pseudomonadati; Pseudomonadota; Betaproteobacteria; Nitrosomonadales; Methylophilaceae. The record is from RNAcentral.
GUCCCGGAUUGUGAUUCCGGUUGUCGUGGGUUCGAGCCCCAUCAGCCACCCCA